UACGGAGGAUCCAAGCGUUAUCCGGAUUUAUUGGGUUUAAAGGGUGCGUAGGCGGAAUGAUAAGUCAGUGGUGAAAGCCUGCAGCUUAACUGCAGAACUGCCAUUGAUACUGUCAAUCUUGAGUACAUUUGAUGUGGGCGGAAUGUGUCAUGUAGCGGUGAAAUGCUUAGAUAUGACACAGAACACCGAUUGCGAAGGCAGCUCACAAAACUGUAAACUGACGCUGAGGCACGAAAGCGUGGGUAUCAAACAGG
This 254-nucleotide ribosomal RNA is filed under the name uncultured bacterium. RNAcentral's name for it is "partial 16S ribosomal RNA". It matches the Rfam family "Bacterial small subunit ribosomal RNA", at positions 524 to 776 of the family's 1533-position model. The record is from RNAcentral.